CAUUCACCGCGUGCCUUAAUU
Molecule: microRNA, 21 nt
Filed under: Gallus gallus (chicken)
Lineage: Eukaryota; Metazoa; Chordata; Aves; Galliformes; Phasianidae
Description: gga-miR-124c-5p
Gene: gga-miR-124c-5p
Source: miRBase by way of RNAcentral